Molecule: ribosomal RNA, 530 nt
Filed under: Gametis versicolor
Lineage: Eukaryota; Metazoa; Arthropoda; Insecta; Coleoptera; Scarabaeidae
Description: partial large subunit ribosomal RNA
Rfam family: Bacterial large subunit ribosomal RNA
Source: RNAcentral
CAAAAACAUGUCUUUUUGAGUAUAAUUUAAAGUCUGGCCUGCCCAAUGAGUAUUUGAAUGGCCGCGGUAUUUUGACCGUGCAAAGGUAGCAUAAUCAUUAGUUUUUUAAUUGAAAGCUGGUAUGAAUGGUCGGACGAGAAAAUGACUGUCUCAAUUUAAUUUUAAUUAGAACUUUAUUUUUAAGUAAAAAAGCUUAAAUGAUUUUAAAAGACGAGAAGACCCUAUAGAGUUUUAUAUUUAUUAGUAUAUUUAUAAUUUAGAAUGUUUUGAAUUUAUAUAUUAAUAAUUAUUUUGUUGGGGUGACAGGAAAAUUAGUGAAACUUUUUUUGUAUAUUUACAUUGAUUUAUGAGUAGUUGAUCCGUUAUUUACGAUUAAAAGAUUAAAUUACCUUAGGGAUAACAGCGUAAUUUUUUUUGAGAGUUCUUAUCGAAAAAAGAGUUUGCGACCUCGAUGUUGGAUUAAAAUUAACUUUUGGUGUAGAAGCUAAAAGGUUAGGUCUGUUCGACCUUUAAAAUUUUACAUGAUCUGA